This 147-nucleotide ribosomal RNA is filed under the name bacterium M00.F.Ca.ET.229.01.1.1. Its description in RNAcentral is "partial 16S ribosomal RNA". It matches the Rfam family "Bacterial small subunit ribosomal RNA", at positions 1 to 162 of the family's 1533-position model. The record is from RNAcentral.
AACUUGAGAGUUUGAUCCUGGCUCAGAACGAACGCUGGCGGCAGGCUUAACACAUGCAAGUCGAGCGCCCCGCAAGGGGAGCGGCAGACGGGUGAGUAACGCGUGGGAAUCUACCCAUCUCUACGGAACAACUCCGGGAAACUGGAG